RNAcentral lists this unclassified non-coding RNA (336 nucleotides) under soil metagenome. Its description in RNAcentral is "partial contains 5.8S ribosomal RNA, internal transcribed spacer 2, and large subunit ribosomal RNA". The stretch from base 1 to 120 matches the Rfam family "5.8S ribosomal RNA", at positions 35 to 154 of the family's 154-position model. The record is from RNAcentral.
GAUGAAGAACUUAGUGAAAUGCGAUAAGUAGUGUGAAUUGCAGAAUUCAUUGAAUCAUCGAAUCUUUGAACGCACAUUGCGCCCCUCGGUAUUCCGUGGGGCAUGCCUGUUCGAGCGUCAUCUACACCCUCAAGCUCUGCUUGGUGUUGGGCGUCUGUCCCGCCUCCGCGCGUGGACUCGCCCCAAAUUCAUUGGCAGCGGUCCUUGCCUCCUCUCGCGCAGCACAUUGCGCUUCUUGAGGGGCUCCGGUUCGCGUCCAACAAGCACAUUUACCGUCUUUGACCUCGGAUCAGGUAGGGAUACCCGCUGAACUUAAGCAUAUCAAUAAGCGGAGGA